Long non-coding RNA from Rosa rugosa (rugosa rose), 1569 nucleotides. RefSeq lists it as uncharacterized. Lineage: Eukaryota; Viridiplantae; Streptophyta; Magnoliopsida; Rosales; Rosaceae. The record is from RefSeq and is a predicted model, not a curated record. The transcript has 5 exons.
AAACCGAGCGACGGAGCCAACGCCAAAACCCUCCCGCCCAAUCUGCCAUUCCCCUAACUCCAAUGGAAUCCUAGCAACCUAACUCCAUGCAUCAGAUCGUUCCAGAAAUCUCCACAGCACGAGACCUGGUUCCUUGAUCCGACAACCCGCAAAAGCAACUCGACUGGAACUUCUUCGUCCGGUGACGACACGGUGGAAAACUUGUGUGGUCUGGUUCGUCUUCUUUCCAUAGUUUCACUUCCAGCCUCGGUUGGUCCAGUCGCUGAGUGUAGAGAGAGAAUCGAAGCUAACAAGUUUUAUGUUUUGCGACGUUUCUUCGACGUCUUCUGGUGGAUCGAUCUGCUCUGCUCUGCUUUGUAGUUUUGUAUUUGAUUGGUGGAACCGAUCUUAACAAUUGAAGUUGAACUAGUGAGUUACGAGGAGAUUGUGAUACAGAACGAUUCGUAACCAUGUUUGGCUACUGGGGAAAGUCUCAUCAUCACAAGAAUGAUUCAUUGCAGCGUGAGGUGAAGUUCAACGAGCUAAAGGCUGCAAUUGGACCACUAUCGGGCCGUAUUUUGCAGUUCUGUACUGAUGCGUGCUUUAGGAGGUACUUGGAUGCAUGGAAGGGAAUAUUGUAGACAAGUUGGAAGAAACACUCAAAUGGAGGUCGACUUAUAAGCCUGAGGAAAUUAGUUGGCCUGAAGUUGCAGUUGAAGGUGAGACUGGAAAAGUUUAUAGAGCAAAUUUUUGUGACCGUCAUGGGAGAACGUACUGUUCUGAUAUUGAGACCAGCAAUGCAGCCGAGAUUCAACUGGAGGCUUCAAUUUCAUUCAUGGAUUGACAGAUCUAAUUGCUCAUGCUACUGCUACUGCUACUGCUCAUGCCACUACUACCGUUACUGCUCCUGACGAGUGCAGUAGAAGAACACGAGUAUGAGUGUAGCGAGUGCAGUAGUAGGAUUUGGCAAGUGCAGUAGCAGGAUUAGGCAAUGACGAGUUCAGUAGCAGAACACGAGGAGCGCAGUAGCAGGAUUAGGCGAUGACGAGCGCAGUAGCAGAACACGAGUACAAGUGCAGUAGCAGAACAUGAGUACAAGUGCAGUAGCAGAACUGGACGAGUAUGAGUGCAAUGCAGUACCAGGAUUGGACAAGUACAGUAGCAGGAUUAGGCGAUGACGAGUGCAGUAGCAGAACACGAUCGAGUACAAGUGCAGUAGCAGAACACGAGUACAAGUGCAGUUGCAGAACUGGACGAGUAUGAGAUUAUUCUUAGAAGAAAAAAAAGUAACAUAAAGGGAUUAGAAGUCAAAAAAAGUAAUUAAGGGUAAAAAAGUAAAUUAACUCAUGGCAUGUGGCAAGUGGAGAGCAGAUUGUCCUUAUUUGUAAGAUUUAAUCCUUAUAAAGGGAUUAGAAGUCAAAAUAAGUAGUUAAUGGUAAGAAAGUAAAUUAACUCAUGACAUGUGACAAGUGGAGAGCAGAUUGUCCUUAUUUAUAAGAGUUUAAUUCAAUCUUUAAAGGAUGUAAUUGUUAAGUCAUCUUUUGUCAAUAACUUAUAUGUAAUUUGUUAAAAAAAAUUAACGAAAAUCUC